This 599-nucleotide ribosomal RNA is filed under the name Bacillus siamensis. RNAcentral's name for it is "bacterial SSU rRNA". It matches the Rfam family "Bacterial small subunit ribosomal RNA", at positions 120 to 704 of the family's 1533-position model. Lineage: Bacteria; Bacillati; Bacillota; Bacilli; Caryophanales; Bacillaceae. The record is from RNAcentral.
GGUAACCUGCCUGUAAGACUGGGAUAACUCCGGGAAACCGGGGCUAAUACCGGAUGGUUGUUUGAACCGCAUGGUUCAGACAUAAAAGGUGGCUUCGGCUACCACUUACAGAUGGACCCGCGGCGCAUUAGCUAGUUGGUGAGGUAACGGCUCACCAAGGCGACGAUGCGUAGCCGACCUGAGAGGGUGAUCGGCCACACUGGGACUGAGACACGGCCCAGACUCCUACGGGAGGCAGCAGUAGGGAAUCUUCCGCAAUGGACGAAAGUCUGACGGAGCAACGCCGCGUGAGUGAUGAAGGUUUUCGGAUCGUAAAGCUCUGUUGUUAGGGAAGAACAAGUGCCGUUCAAAUAGGGCGGCACCUUGACGGUACCUAACCAGAAAGCCACGGCUAACUACGUGCCAGCAGCCGCGGUAAUACGUAGGUGGCAAGCGUUGUCCGGAAUUAUUGGGCGUAAAGGGCUCGCAGGCGGUUUCUUAAGUCUGAUGUGAAAGCCCCCGGCUCAACCGGGGAGGGUCAUUGGAAACUGGGGAACUUGAGUGCAGAAGAGGAGAGUGGAAUUCCACGUGUAGCGGUGAAAUGCGUAGAGAUGUGGAGG